UACGUAGGGGCUAGCGUUAUCCGGAAUUAUUGGGCGUAAAGAGCGCGCAGGUGGUUGAUUAAGUCUGAUGUGAAAGCCCACGGCUUAACCGUGGAGGGUCAUUGGAAACUGGUCGACUUGAGUGCAGAAGAGGGAAGUGGAAUUCCAUGUGUAGCGGUGAAAUGCGUAGAGAUAUGGAGGAACACCAGUGGCGAAGGCGGCUUCCUGGUCUGUAACUGACACUGAGGCGCGAAAGCGUGGGGAGCAAACAGGAUUAGAUACCCCU
RNAcentral lists this ribosomal RNA (265 nucleotides) under uncultured prokaryote. RNAcentral describes it as "partial 16S ribosomal RNA". It matches the Rfam family "Bacterial small subunit ribosomal RNA", at positions 524 to 788 of the family's 1533-position model. The record is from RNAcentral.